This 85-nucleotide transfer RNA is filed under the name Felis catus (domestic cat). It matches the Rfam family "tRNA". Rfam says of the family: Transfer RNA (tRNA) molecules are approximately 80 nucleotides in length. Their secondary structure includes four short double-helical elements and three loops (D, anti-codon, and T loops). The record is from Rfam by way of RNAcentral. Lineage: Eukaryota; Metazoa; Chordata; Mammalia; Carnivora; Felidae.
GCCUGGGUGGCUCAGUUGGUUGAGCAUCUGACUUCAGCUCGGGUCAUGAUCUCACAGUCUGUGAGUUCGAGCCCCGCAUCGGGCU